Molecule: unclassified non-coding RNA, 248 nt
Filed under: Hevea brasiliensis (rubber tree)
Lineage: Eukaryota; Viridiplantae; Streptophyta; Magnoliopsida; Malpighiales; Euphorbiaceae
Source: RNAcentral
CAAAUAGACAAAUAGUUUGUUUUGGACCUUCCAGAAUAACGAAAAAAAAUUUUCAACCCUUGUACAGUUGUGUUGAUUAAUGGACAAUUCAAUAGUUUCCCAUUCAACCAAAUGAAAUUUCAUAGGCCUCUCAUUGCAAGCAAUUAAGGAAGUGGUGAAGAUGUGACAAUCCAAUAGUUUCCCAUUAAACCAAAUGAACAAUUAGUUAUUCUAAUUAUUUUUGUAAUAUUACUUAAUCAAAUUGGUGG